This is a long non-coding RNA of Pseudophryne corroboree (corroboree frog), 2970 nucleotides long. RefSeq lists it as uncharacterized. Lineage: Eukaryota; Metazoa; Chordata; Amphibia; Anura; Myobatrachidae. The transcript is spliced from 4 exons. The record is from RefSeq and is a predicted model, not a curated record.
CUCCCCAGUCCUAACCCCGGGCCCACGCUCUGCACAGGAAAAACACCAGUCGGGCAAGGCCUACGCUAUUUCCGUAGUGACCCGCAUGACGCAAGAGCGACACUUCCGCUCCAUCGAGGUGGCGGUGCCGUAACCAGUGAGUGACAGUCUGAGCUCUGCGGCUGCGGAGGUCAGGAGCGCCGCACGCACUGACAGACUCCGGAGCAGAGCCGUGCGUAGCAGCGGCACAUACAGCGUCCUCCCGGGAGAUGGGGAGACCGUGUGACAGGGAGACCCCGGCGCGGCCGUGCAGCUGCGGGACGGGGUCGCGCCUGGAUCGGUGCUGUCGCGAUGUCGAACGCAGCAGAAGCCGGCUGUAGAGUGGGAGACGGAGCCUGAAACCCGGCCUGGCUGCUGUCACAGGACCGAAUACGGGGCAGGCACUGGUUUAUAAGGAGCUUCCCAUCCACCCUAUAUAAGAAGCAGAACAGGACAAAGUGUACAGGAAGGACCGCAGAGCUCCGUAUGCUGGUGGACCUGACGGUGAUUGAUCCUGCAGAUGCUUUGCUGCAGCAUUUUGAAGGUCAAGCAAGAUCAGAGGACUCUUAAGACCACACGGCUCUCCAGUGAUUAUUCUAGACUGGGAUCAGUACCAUAAUGGUCUGUCUGGUAGAAGAAGACUCUCUAAAGAACAAGAUUACGUUUCUCAAUGUGUAAUGGCACCUUAGGAAUAUUUAUACACGCUCAGAUCGUCCAUCCAUUAGAGUCUCCGCAUUGCCGAUUUUUGUCCUGGCGUCAUCUCUUACAAGCAAGACUAUUAACAGCGUUUGACUUGAGGUGCGAACAUGAAAAGUGACAAUGCCGUAAAGCUGACAUUUGUGUAGCCGCGCCGCUACAUGUGCUGCGGAUGGUUUUAAAUCUUUUGGAGUUAUCCUUUUUUACUAGCUGCUCAAGAGUCAUCGACAGCAAAAUAGAUGAUCUGUAAUGAAAGUGAAUCUGUUUACGCCAGUUCUAUGCUGUUUCUGUUAUGAAAAGAGAGAAUUAUGAAAGGAACAGAUGUAUCCGAGUCCUUGUAUAACCCACAUCUCCGGAGGCUAUCUUAAACCAUCUGAUCAAAGCUUGCGGGGUACUCUGUAGUAUUGUCAAAUUUUACUACAGUGCUCUUAUAUAUACUGUAAGUACUUUUUUUUUUUUUCAUGCACACUCAAAAUAAUUUUGAGUAUUCAUUAAAUUGUGUAGUUACAACCUUGAAGUAGAGAAAAGUACGUGGAUGUAUUACCUGCAUGGAAAGAAAAAAAUCUAUUAUUAGUUCCACAUGACAUUUGGAAGAUGCAGAUAGCAAGUUAAUGAAGCAAACUGGGAUACGAUUUGUUUACAGUAUCCACUUUUUUGAUAUGGAUCUGAUAAAGGGGCCUAUCCAUAAAAAAGCAAAGCUUCAAUUUCAGAUAAAUGUCUGAAAAAUAGGAUUGCGUGCGCUGGCUUCUCGUCAAUAAAUCUGUGGACUCCAGUUAAGGAUGUAGACCUAUAUUUUUGUGUUUUUUUUUAAAUAGAAACACAUUAUUUCUUUUUGUAGGAAUAUGAACAAGCCCUUCAUUCUUUGCCAGAGAGCCCAAGUCUGACACACACUGGUUUGCAAUAAUUUUUGCUUCACUUCUCAGGUUUUGCACAACGUUUAGGGUGUUUUUUUUUUUUUCAUUUAAUUAUACUUUACUGGCAAAGUCCCAUUCUGGAACUAUGCUCUGUAUUUUAAAACCUAGGCCCUCCUCUCUCUUUUUUUUAUUUUUUAUUUCUUAUCACUCCCCCCUAUCCCCCCCCCCCAAUCCGCAACAAAGUGAAGAAUGAUUAACAGGUGGGCAUCAUGUUUCUCUGCUGAUGUAUGUGGCCAUCUGUGCUGGGACUCCGCCAUUUGGAACUCUUACCCUCCAAAUGCCAAGAAUGUUAGAAAAAGCUAUUUUAUUUGUAAGAAUUUGAGCAGUUAACGCAUAUAGACUUUGUCUUCUUUCUGGAUAAUGUUAGGAAUGUCCAAGUUACUUCUUAGCACACGGGUCCUUCCAUGUCCAAACAGAUGGACAAUUAUUUGGAUUCCAUAGGUUUUGAUAUGGACCAUGGGGAAUACCCACAUUUAGUUUAAUCAUUACUGGUGUUUUUGUUGUUGUUGUCAUUUUUAAACUUCAGAAGGAUGUGUAGAAUAGAGCAGUGGUUCUCAAACUCGGUCCUCAGGACCCCACACGGUUCAUGUUUUGCAGGUCACCUGUAGAUUAUUAAAAUGUGAUAGUUGGUGAUGCACGCACUGUGCUGGGUGACAUGGAAAACGUGAACCGUGUGGGGUCCUGAGGACCGAGUUUGAGAACCACUGGAAUAGACUGAUGAGGAACAGGAUAAGUCCUAGACUGGACAAGGCCCACCUGAGCCUUAGACUAGGUUCUUGAUGCCGGAGAGCGUUCCCACAGUCCAUGCACAGGUUACACCGUGGUAUUGGUGAUGAGCGCUCACCAGCUGGACAACUCGGCCAUAAGUUAACCUCCUGCUUGGGCUGUGGGACCACUGUGGCAUCUUAUGUCAUCAUGCGAAUAAUGCUCCUCUGUGAAGGUUACAUCCCUUAUGUUGGUUACACCUGCCACAGUCCUACCUUUUAUUUGUUUGAGCGAGCACUAGAAUUUAAAUGGAUUUGUUUGCACAACGGGGAAAAAAUAAUUGAAAUCUGAAAACCUCUGCUUAUGUGUGUUGCGCGGCUAAAAUUCUCCAGAAUAAACUCGGCUGGUAUGACGCCAGAUCGUGAACCAACCAAAGCAAAAACAUUCACAAAGAGUGUCAAAGCAUACACUUCAAGCUUAAAAAUGUGUGUGUGUGUGUGUGUGUCACGUGCAGGCAGUGUCUGCACCACUUUGGGCAAAGCGUAAUGGGGCGGUUCAGCGAAACGCGAUGCCCCCCCAUCUUCAUGUCCCCCCAUACAUAUUGUAGGCCAACAUCAGGCAUUUUCCUGUGCACCAC